CUUGCCAUCACCUGCCGGCGACCGGCGCACGGGUGAGUAACACGUAUGCAACCUGCCCGCCACAGGGGGAUAAGCGGAAGAAAUUCCGUCUAAUACCGCGUGACGCGGCGUCGGGGCAUCCCGGUGCCGCCAAAGGGAUUACCGGUGGCGGAUGGGCAUGCGGCGCAUUAGCUAGUCGGCGGGGUAACGGCCCACCGAGGCGACAAUGCGUAGGGGUUCUGAGAGGAAGGUCCCCCACACUGGUACUGAGACACGGACCAGACUCCUACGGGAGGCAGCAGUGAGGAAUAUUGGUCAAUGGGCGGGAGCCUGAACCAGCCAAGUCGCGUGAGGGAUGACGGUCCUACGGAUUGUAAACCUCUUUUGCCGGGGAGCAAGCGUGCGUUCGUGAACGCGCGUCGAGAGUACCCGGAGAAAAAGCAUCGGCUAACUCCGUGCCAGCAGCCGCGGUAAUACGGAGGAUGCGAGCGUUAUCCGGAUUUAUUGGGUUUAAAGGGUGCGUAGGCGGGAUGCCAAGUCAGCGGUAAAAAUGCGGUGCUCAACGCCGUCGAGCCGUUGAAACUGGCGUUCUUGAGUGGGCGAGAAGUAUGCGGAAUGCGUGGUGUAGCGGUGAAAUGCAUAGAUAUCACGCAGAACUCCGAUUGCGAAGGCAGCAUACCGGCGCCCUACUGACGCUGAGGCACGAAAGCGUGGGUAUCGAACAGGAUUAGAUACCCUGGUAGUCCACGCAGUAAACGAUGAAUGCUAACUGUCCGGUGCGAGUGAGCGCUGGGCGGUACAGCGAAAGCGUUAAGCAUUCCACCUGGGGAGUACGCCGGCAACGGUGAAACUCAAAGGAAUUGACGGGGGCCCGCACAAGCGGAGGAACAUGUGGUUUAAUUCGAUGAUACGCGAGGAACCUUACCCGGGCUCAAACGCAGGAUGACGGGUCCCGAAAGGGGCCUUUCUUCGGACAUUCUGCGAGGUGCUGCAUGGUUGUCGUCAGCUCGUGCCGUGAGGUGUCGGCUUAAGUGCCAUAACGAGCGCAACCCCUGUCCACAGUUGCCAGCAGGUAAAGCUGGGGACUCUGUGGAGACUGCCGGCGCAAGCUGCGAGGAAGGCGGGGAUGACGUCAAAUCAGCACGGCCCUUACGUCCGGGGCGACACACGUGUUACAAUGGCAGGUACAGCGGGAUGCCACGGGGCGACCCGGCGCUGAACCCGAAAACCUGUCUCAGUUCGGAUUGGAGUCUGCAACCCGACUCCAUGAAGCUGGAUUCGCUAGUAAUCGCGCAUCAGCCACGGCGCGGUGAAUACGUUCCCGGGCCUUGUACACACCGCCCGUCAAG
This 1328-nucleotide ribosomal RNA is filed under the name uncultured bacterium. RNAcentral's name for it is "bacterial SSU rRNA". It matches the Rfam family "Bacterial small subunit ribosomal RNA", at positions 74 to 1401 of the family's 1533-position model. The record is from RNAcentral.